Molecule: ribosomal RNA, 494 nt
Filed under: uncultured bacterium
Lineage: Bacteria
Description: partial 16S ribosomal RNA
Rfam family: Bacterial small subunit ribosomal RNA
Source: RNAcentral
GACGAACGCUGGCGGCGUGCUUAACACAUGCAAGUCGAACGGUGAAGCGCCUUCCUUUUUGGUGGGUGUGGAUGAGUGGCGAACGGGUGAGUAACACGUGAGUAACCUGCCCCCUUCUUCUGGAUAACCGCAUGAAAGUGUGGCUAAUACGGGAUAUUCUGGGUCUGUCGCAUGAUGGGUCUGGGAAAGAUAUUGUUUCGGUGGGGGAUGGGCUCGCGGCCUAUCAGCUUGUUGGUGGGGUGAUGGCCUACCAAGGCGGUGACGGGUAGCCGGCCUGAGAGGGUGGACGGUCACACUGGGACUGAGACACGGCCCAGACUCCUACGGGAGGCAGCAGUGGGGAAUAUUGCACAAUGGGCGCAAGCCUGGUGCAGCGACGCCGCGUGAGGGAUGGAGGCCUUCGGGUUGUGAACCUCUUUCGCUAGUGAAGCAGGCCUGCCUCGUUUGUGGGUGGGUUGACGGUAGCUGGAUAAGAAGCGCCGGCUAACUACGUG